AGAGUUUGAUCAUGGCUCAGGACGAACGCUGGCGGCAUGCCUAAUACAUGCAAGUCGAACGAGCUGACAGAGUGCUUGCACUCUCGACGCGAGUGGCGGACGGGUGAGUAACACGUGGGAAACCUACCUGUAAGUAGGGGAUAACAUUCGGAAACGGAUGCUAAUACCCUAUAGGUUUCAGUUCCGCAUGGAACUGAAAGGAAAGACGGCUUUGCUGUCGCUUACAGAUGGUCCCGCGGCGCAUUAGCUAGUUGGUGGGAUAAAAGCUCACCAAGGCUGUGAUGCGUAGCCGACCUGAGAGGGUAACCGGCCACACUGGGACUGAGACACGGCCCAGACUCCUACGGGAGGCAGCAGUAGGGAAUCUUCCGCAAUGGACGCAAGUCUGACGGAGCAAUGCCGCGUGAAUGAAGAAGGUCUUCGGAUCGUAAAAUUCUGUUGUUAGAGAAGAACAAGGAGUAGGUAACUACUACUCCCUUGACGGUAUCUAACCAGAAAGCCACGGCUAACUACGUGCCAGCAGCCGCGGUAAUACGUAGGUGGCAAGCGUUGUCCGGAUUUAUUGGGCGUAAAGGGAGCGCAGGCGGUGACUUAAGUCUGAUGUGAAAGCCCACGGCUCAACCGUGGAAGGUCAUUGGAAACUGGGUCACUUGAAUAUAGAAGAGGAAAGUGGAAUUCCAUGUGUAGCGGUGAAAUGCGUAGAUAUAUGGAGGAACACCAGUGGCGAAGGCGACUUUCUGGUCUAUUAUUGACGCUGAGGCUCGAAAGCAUGGGUAGCAAACAGGAUUAGAUACCCUGGUAGUCC
Molecule: ribosomal RNA, 805 nt
Filed under: uncultured bacterium
Lineage: Bacteria
Description: bacterial SSU rRNA
Rfam family: Bacterial small subunit ribosomal RNA
Source: RNAcentral